Molecule: ribosomal RNA, 460 nt
Filed under: uncultured bacterium
Lineage: Bacteria
Description: partial 16S ribosomal RNA
Rfam family: Bacterial small subunit ribosomal RNA
Source: RNAcentral
CCUACGGGAGGCAGCAGUGAGGAAUAUUGGUCAAUGGCCGGAAGGCUGAACCAGCCAUGCCGCGUGAAGGUCAGUGCCCUAUGGGCGUUAAACUUCUUUUGUGCGGGAGCAAUAAUGGUCACGUGUGGCCAGACGAGAGUACCGUACGAAUAAGCAUCGGCUAACUCCGUGCCAGCAGCCGCGGUAAUACGGGGGAUGCAAGCGUUAUCCGGAUUUAUUGGGUUUAAAGGGUGCGUAGGCUGUGAGGUAAGUCAGCGGUGAAAUGCCCCCGCUCAACGGGGUGAAGUGCCAUUGAUACUGCCUGGCUUGAAUGCGGAUGCCGUGGGAGGAAUGUGUGGUGUAGCGGUGAAAUGCAUAGAUAUCACACAGAACACCGAUUGCGAAGGCAUCUCACGAAUCCGCGAUUGACGCUGAUGCACGAAAGCGUGGGUAUCAAACAGGAUUAGAUACCCGGGUAGUC